UUUCCAGAUUAUGUCUUGCAAGAAAUCGAAAAAGCUGGCUUCACUGAACCUACACCUAUUCAAGCUCAAGGUUGGCCUAUGGCCUUGAAGGGUCGUGAUCUCAUUGGCAUAGCAGAAACAGGGUCUGGGAAGACAAUUGCUUAUCUAUUGCCUGCAAUUGUGCACGUUAAUGCCCAGCCCAUUUUAGAUCAUGGAGAUGGUCCAAUUGUCUUAGUGUUAGCCCCAACUCGUGAACUUGCUGUUCAGAUUCAACAAGAAGCUACUAAGUUUGGUGCAUCAUCGCGGAUUAAGAAUACCUGCAUUUAUGGUGGGGUUCCAAAGGGGCCCCAAGUUCGUGAUCUUCAGAAAGGUGUUGAAAUUGUUAUUGCCACACCUGGAAGGUUGAUUGAUAUGUUAGAAUCUAAUCAUACAAAUCUUCGAAGAGUGACAUAUCUCGUGCUGGAUGAGGCUGACCGCAUGCUAGACAUGGGUUUUGAACCUCAGAUCCGCAAAAUUGUAUCUCAGAUACGCCCAGAUCGUCAAACGCUGUAUUGGAGUGCCACAUGGCCCAAAGAAGUUGAGCAGCUUGCAAGACAAUUCCUUUUCAAUGCAUACAAAGUAAUUAUUGGUUCAGCUGACCUGAAAGCUAAUCACGCUAUUCGUCAGCAUGUGGAAAUCGUCUCGGAGAGCCAGAAGUAUAAUAAAUUAGUAAAGUUGCUGGAAGAUAUUAUGGAUGGUAGUCGGAUUUUAAUAUUCAUGGACACUAAAAAGGGGUGUGACCAAGUAACUCGGCAGCUCCGGAUGGAUGGUUGGCCGGCACUUUCUAUUCAUGGUGAUAAGAGUCAAGCAGAAAGAGAUUGGGUCCUUUCAGAAUUCAAAGCUGGAAAGUCUCCUAUAAUGACAGCUACAGACGUUGCUGCUCGAGGUCUAGAUGUGAAGGAUGUAAAGUUUGUAAUCAACUAUGAUUUUCCUGGAUCAUUGGAGGACUAUGUUCACCGAAUUGGUAGAACGGGAAGAGCUGGUGCCUCAGGGACAGCAUACACAUUCUUUACUGCAGCGAAUGCUAGGUUUGCGAAGGACCUUGUUAACAUUCUUGAGGAGGCUGGACAGAAAGUCAGUCCUGAAUUGGCAAAAAUGGGACGUGGUGCUCCUCCCCCUCCUGGUCACGGAGGGUUUCGAGACCGUGGAAGGGGUUAUGGAGGCAAUAAGCAGUGGAGCUAGAAAAGACUGGUGGGUACUACCGAAAGGCACAAAAGCUAGUAAUUUUGCCCCAGCCGAUGAAAAUCUAAUUACACAUUUUAUAGCAAUGAGAUCAUGACCCUAUUUAUGUUGCAUGUAUAAUAUGUUUGGAUUAUUUCAGUAGAAGGUGAAAAAGUUAACAAUCUUUAUUUAGUAUUGCUUUCUUUUUUUUGUUACUCUAAAAUUCGUCACGAAUUACUAAAAGUUGUAGUUAUCUGGGAGUGUAUGUUGCAAGUUGCAACUUGCAAGAAACUCGUUAAAACAGUGCAAUUUCAAACUCAAA
Molecule: unclassified non-coding RNA, 1501 nt
Filed under: Hevea brasiliensis (rubber tree)
Lineage: Eukaryota; Viridiplantae; Streptophyta; Magnoliopsida; Malpighiales; Euphorbiaceae
Source: RNAcentral